Bubalus bubalis (water buffalo) is the source of this 183-nucleotide long non-coding RNA. RefSeq lists it as uncharacterized. The record is from RefSeq and is a predicted model, not a curated record. The transcript has 2 exons. Lineage: Eukaryota; Metazoa; Chordata; Mammalia; Artiodactyla; Bovidae.
GGAGAAGAGGACUGUGAUUGUGGAUAACAAAUGAACUGACUGAUAACAAGCAUGGAUUCACAUGUUUCCAGUUGAAACAACACCUGGAAAGAAUCAAGACUGACAAUAUGGGCUCCAGCUACUAUUUCAAGGAAGAAAACACCAGUCCUUUAGAACAAAUGACAAGGAAAUCCUCAUCUAACC